Long non-coding RNA from Saccostrea cuccullata (small rock oyster), 513 nucleotides. RefSeq lists it as uncharacterized. The transcript is spliced from 4 exons. Lineage: Eukaryota; Metazoa; Mollusca; Bivalvia; Ostreida; Ostreidae. The record is from RefSeq and is a predicted model, not a curated record.
AAUCACACUUAAUCAUAGUGAAUGUAAACAGUUUAUAUUUCCCAUCCUGCAUCGCUCUCUGGGCGCUUUAUUUCAUUGGUCAAUUUCCCGAGGCGCCAUUUUUGGAGGAUCGAGAAGGACGAAGAAGAAGGUGUAAGCAGCUGGUAAAUGUGAAAAGUUAAGAUGGUUUCACCACCCAGUGUCUUUAAGACUGUGAUAAAUGCAAUGGCCAACGAUGAAGGAUUAGUAGAGAAGAAAACUGUGUGACGUUAAAAGAAAACCAGUGAGAUAAAAUCAUAGAAAAUGUAUGAUGAUUCAGGAUGUGGUCAUUUGUGACAUUAAAACAGGAAUUGUCAUCACCAAUAGACGAAUUUCACAUUCCUAAGAGUUUUCUCCAAUUGUCGGCGUAUCGCUCAUUUUUCCCACUUUGUCCUUUAUCAUAGGUGAUGUGAAGAAAACCAGGAAACUGAUGUUGAAAGAAGUACUUAAUGACCCUUAUGAAUGGACUUAAAUGUGAAAGACUGUUCCAUUGUU